Molecule: small nucleolar RNA, 134 nt
Organism: Acomys russatus (golden spiny mouse)
Lineage: Eukaryota; Metazoa; Chordata; Mammalia; Rodentia; Muridae
Product: small nucleolar RNA SNORA17
Exons: 1
Source: RefSeq, a predicted model, not a curated record
CUUGCCCCUAGAAAAGGUGCAUGUGUGGCUGCUGUGUCACCUGUGUGUCAGUAGGUGGCAGAGAGGGGAGAGAGGCUAAGUCUAUGCUCAGUGUUCUGACUUGGGAACAUCUUAAUGAUUACUAGUCUAAUGAU